CUAUGUUAAGCUACUAUAAUUUAGUUUUUUGGGUGUGAUUUGACUGUAGCAGUAUAUUUUUUACGGUUUUGGAUAAUCCAACUAUACAUCAGGGAUCAACCCCCUAAUGUGCAGUAAUUAUAUCACGAAACAAAAUUCAGCAAUCCCUCCCUAUUCUUUAUCUCUUUAUUAUGCUCAAUGAUAGGAGAAAUGCUUGCAAUAUCAUGUCGUUAGUAUUGAAAUUGAUUGGGACUAUUUCCUGUAUGCAUCAAUAAUUUUCUUUUUCUUGUAGCAUGAAAAUCAUGUAUUUAAUGGAUUAAGUUGUAUAUUUAUACACAUGUUCAUUUAGAAUUUUGGGGUUCAGAAAU
This 347-nucleotide long non-coding RNA is filed under the name Panax ginseng (ginseng). RNAcentral's name for it is "long non-coding RNA (PGIN_LNC002254)". Lineage: Eukaryota; Viridiplantae; Streptophyta; Magnoliopsida; Apiales; Araliaceae. The record is from RNAcentral.